Molecule: long non-coding RNA, 754 nt
Filed under: Homo sapiens (human)
Lineage: Eukaryota; Metazoa; Chordata; Mammalia; Primates; Hominidae
Description: non-protein coding lnc-ASXL2-4:1
Source: RNAcentral
CAGUGUUGUACUCUGCGCACCUUUCCAUUAUAGCAUUUUGAUGUAAAGAAAUUUCAGCUUCUUUCUUAAUGUAACACAUUACAGCAGAAAUGCUUUUUUUUAAUGAUAUGAAGAGAAUUACACAUUGGUUUAUUUUAAUAUAGUUUUAAUUCUUUUUUAAAACACAUUUUUUUUUUUGCCUGGGAAACUAACCCAAAAUAAGGUCUGUGGAUUAUGUAGUUUAGUUGUUUUUAAAACACAAGAGAAAUUAGAUGCGUUUAUAAGUUAAUUCAGCAGAACCCAUCUAUUAGGAUAGCUAAAAUUAAAUACUGACUUCGAAUACUGGUAAAGAUAUUUGGAGUAUCCAGUACUCUUUACAAACUGCAAGAAGCCCUGGUGGUUUCUUAAUAAAACUAAUCUGACACCUCCUCAUGACCUAGCAAUUAAAUUAAAACCUAAUCCUAGGUUUUAAGACUUUUCAGGAGUGCUCUUAUCAACUAUAUUCAUACUAGCCCCAAACCAGAAGCAUCCUGGAUGUCCAUUAUUAAAAAAAAUUGGGGAAAAGCUAAUUUAAGAGAUGGUAUGUCUGGAGUUUGCCCCAAAAUAAUGAAGGCUGGAGGGAAAGCGAAAGCAAAAAUGAAACCAAAUUAGUCAUAUGUUAAGAACUGUUGAAGCUGGGUAGGCAUAUUUUUUUUUUUUUUUUUUUUUUUUUGAGAUGGAGUCUCACUCUAUCACCCAGGCUGGAGUACAUUGGUGCAAUCUUGGCUCACUGCAA